Molecule: ribosomal RNA, 292 nt
Filed under: uncultured bacterium
Lineage: Bacteria
Description: partial 16S ribosomal RNA
Rfam family: Bacterial small subunit ribosomal RNA
Source: RNAcentral
GUGUCAGCAGCCGCGGUAAUACGAAGGGGGCGAGCGUUGUUCGGAUUUACUGGGCGUAAAGGGCGCGCAGGCGGUCCUGUUUGUCGAGUGUGAAAGCCCCGGGCUCAACCUGGGAAUGGCGCUCGAAACGGCGGGACUAGAGAUCGGGAGAGGAGCGUGGAAUUCCCAGUGUAGAGGUGAAAUUCGUAGAUAUUGGGAAGAACACCGGUGGCGAAGGCGGCGCUCUGGACCGAGACUGACGCUGAGGCGCGAAAGCGUGGGGAGCAAACAGGAUUAGAUACCCCGGUAGUCC